Molecule: ribosomal RNA, 372 nt
Filed under: uncultured organism
Description: bacterial SSU rRNA
Rfam family: Bacterial small subunit ribosomal RNA
Source: RNAcentral
CGUAGGGUGCGAGCGUUAAUCGGAAUUACUGGGCGUAAAGCGUGCGCAGGCGGUUUAGUAAGACAGGCGUGAAAUCCCCGGGCUCAACCUGGGAACUGCGCUUGUGACUGCUAAGCUAGAGUACGGCAGAGGGGGGUGGAAUUCCACGUGUAGCAGUGAAAUGCGUAGAGAUGUGGAGGAACACCAAUGGCGAAGGCAGCCCCCUGGGUCGAUACUGACGCUCAUGCACGAAAGCGUGGGCAGCAAACAGGAUUAGAUACCCUGGUAGUCCACGCCCUAAACGAUGUCAACUAGGUGUUGGGAGGGUAAAACCUUUUAGUACCGGAGCUAACGCGUGAAGUUGACCGCCUGGGGAGUACGGCCGCAAGGUUA